RNAcentral lists this ribosomal RNA (500 nucleotides) under uncultured bacterium. RNAcentral's name for it is "partial 16S ribosomal RNA". It matches the Rfam family "Bacterial small subunit ribosomal RNA", at positions 30 to 523 of the family's 1533-position model. The record is from RNAcentral.
AUUGAACGCUGGCGGAAUGCUUUACACAUGCAAGUCGAACGGCAGCACGGACUUCGGUCUGGUGGCGAGUGGCGAACGGGUGAGUAAUGUAUCGGAACGUGCCCAGUCGCGGGGGAUGACGGAGUGAAAAUUAUGCUAAUACAGCAUACGAUCCAUGGAUGAAAGCGGGGGAUCGCAAUACCUCGCGCGCUUGGAGCGGCCGAUAUCAGAUUAGGUAGUUGGUGGGGUAAAGGCCCACCAAGCCAACGAUCUGUAGCUGGUCUGAGAGGACGACCAGCCACACUGGAACUGAGACACGGUCCAGACUCCUACGGGUGGCAGCAGUGGGGAAUUUUGGACAAUGUGCGAAAGCCUGAUCCAGCCAUUCCGCGUGCAGGAUGAAGGCCCUCGGGUUGUAAACUGCUUUUGUACAGAACGAAAAGGUUUCUACUAAUACUAGGAGCUCAUGACGGUACUGUAAGAAUAAGCACCGGCUAACUACGUGCCAGCCGCCGCGGUAA